CCGAGUUUACAACUCCAAACCCCUGUGAACAUACCACUUGUUGCCUCGGCGGAUCAGCCCGCUCCCGGCAAAACGGGACGGCCCGCCAGAGGACCCCUAAACUCUGUUUCUAUAUGUAACUUCUGAGUAAAACCAUAAAUAAAUCA
RNAcentral lists this unclassified non-coding RNA (146 nucleotides) under soil metagenome. RNAcentral describes it as "partial internal transcribed spacer 1". The record is from RNAcentral.